UACGUAGGGGGCAAGCGUUAUCCGGAAUUACUGGGUGUAAAGGGUGAGUAGGCGGCAUGGUAAGCCAGAUGUGAAAGCCUUGGGCUUAACCCGAGGAUUGCAUUUGGAACUAUCAAGCUAGAGUACAGGAGAGGAAAGCGGAAUUCCUAGUGUAGCGGUGAAAUGCGUAGAUAUUAGGAAGAACACCAGUGGCGAAGGCGGCUUCCUGGACUGAAACUGACGCUGAGGCACGAAAGCGUGGGGAGCGAACAGG
RNAcentral lists this ribosomal RNA (253 nucleotides) under uncultured bacterium. RNAcentral's name for it is "partial 16S ribosomal RNA". It matches the Rfam family "Bacterial small subunit ribosomal RNA", at positions 524 to 776 of the family's 1533-position model. The record is from RNAcentral.